RNAcentral lists this ribosomal RNA (459 nucleotides) under uncultured bacterium. RNAcentral's name for it is "partial 16S ribosomal RNA". It matches the Rfam family "Bacterial small subunit ribosomal RNA", at positions 338 to 795 of the family's 1533-position model. The record is from RNAcentral.
CCUACGGGAGGCAGCAGUGAGGAAUAUUGGUCAAUGGGAGAGAUCCUGAACCAGCCAAGCCGCGUGAGGGAAGACGGCCCUAUGGGUUGUAAACCUCUUUUGUCGGAGAACAAAACCCGGGACGUGUCCCGGACUGCGUGUAUCCGAAGAAAAAGCAUCGGCUAACUCCGUGCCAGCAGCCGCGGUAAUACGGAGGAUGCGAGCAUUAUCCGGAUUUAUUGGGUUAAAAGGGUGCGUAGGCGGUCCGUUAAGUCAGCGGUAAAAUGGCGGGGCUCAACCCCGUCGAGCCGUUGAAACUGGCAGACUUGAGUUGGCGAGAAGUACGCGGAAUGCGCGGUGUAGCGGUGAAAUGCAUAGAUAUCGCGCAGAACUCCGAUUGCGAAGGCAGCGUACCGGCGCCAGACUGACGCUGAGGCACGAAAGCGUGGGGAUCGAACAGGAUUAGAUACCCCAGUAGUC